UAAAUGCAGGAGCAACCUGACACUUGCCCAGACCCUGGCUGUGCCACAGUGAGAAGCUGCAGGGGUCUUAUGAAAAGAUGACCAGAAAGCUUCCUCGCUCCUUCUCAUCUCAGCUUCAGCCUCAUUCGUCACCCAGUUCUCCUCCCUCUCACCAUCGGCAAGGCCACCUUCCUAUCCUGACCACUCCAUCUGCCAGCCUUCAGCCUGCUCUCCAAGACCCACCCCUCUCUGUUUUCCGCCCUACUUCCUUCCCUCCUCUGACAGCCCCUUCCUACUACCCUUCCUUGAGGAUCUCUAUGCCCAGCACCUCCAGACUUUCAGCUAAGCGCACUGUUCGUCUUCCUCCCCUCUCCUGUUACUCCUCCAUCCUCGUCCCAACUCCUCCCAACAGCCCUGCUGAAUAAUAUAGUUCCCUUCUCUCUAGUCCCCACCUUCUUACCCACCCACCCACCCCCAGCCACAUCAGGAGAGCCACCAGUUCCAUCUUGGGGAGGAGCUUCCCUACCGCUGUUGCCAUUCAGAAGUACCAAGACUGUGAGCACCAGGAAGCUUGACCUUGUAAUCAAGGAAUACAGGACCAUGGAGCAUAUCUGGAGCACAUCCCAGAGUAAAGGCCUGGCUCCCAGGGUGGAGAGAACACACAUGGACGGGUCCCAUCCUUCACUUUCCUAGACACCUGUGGCAAGCUCACCUUACGUGACAGGAAGGACCAGUGUGGCUGGUUGCUGGGACAAUCUUGCUUCAGACCCUUUUGGAUUCUGCAGAUAUAGACUGUUUGUCCAAAUUGGAAGAAGUCUGGAGUAUUCCGUGCCUGCUCAUUAUAAGCCUGGGAACAAUGUCAUCAAGUGACACUGGUGACAAUCUAGGAAAUUAUACUCCCCAAAACAUUACAUCCAGGUGCUGUAGACUUGUGAGAUGUGUCUCAGCUGGUUUCAAGAUGAUGGCUGGGGACAGAAGAAGCUCGAGGAGCCUCGGCAAGGGUGGGAAACCCUCACCUUGUUCAAGAAGAGUACCCCCAACUUCAAUAUGGGGACACGCUGAGUAGGCAUCUCAGCAUAUUUCCUUAUAUUUGCUUAAAAUAUGUUGGUUAUGUUUAUUGCAACGAUAUCAUUUCUGUCAAA
Mesocricetus auratus (golden hamster) is the source of this 1121-nucleotide long non-coding RNA. RefSeq lists it as uncharacterized. The record is from RefSeq and is a predicted model, not a curated record. The transcript is spliced from 2 exons. Lineage: Eukaryota; Metazoa; Chordata; Mammalia; Rodentia; Cricetidae.